RNAcentral lists this ribosomal RNA (265 nucleotides) under uncultured bacterium. Its description in RNAcentral is "partial 16S ribosomal RNA". It matches the Rfam family "Bacterial small subunit ribosomal RNA", at positions 793 to 1055 of the family's 1533-position model. The record is from RNAcentral.
GUCCACGCCGUAAACGAUGGAAACCUGACGUCGGAUUGCUCUGCGAUUCGGUGUCGUAGCUAACGCGCUAAGUUUCCCGCCUGGGGAGUACGGCCGCAAGGUUGAAACUCAAAGGAAUUGACGGGGGCCCGCACAAGCGGUGGAGUAUGUGGUUUAAUUCGAUGCAACGCGAAGAACCUUACCUGGGCUUGACAUGCUAGGAAUCCUGCAGAGAUGCGGGAGUGCCCGCAAGGGAACCUAGACACAGGUGCUGCAUGGCUGUCGU